This is a ribosomal RNA of Panthera pardus (leopard), 113 nucleotides long. Lineage: Eukaryota; Metazoa; Chordata; Mammalia; Carnivora; Felidae. The record is from Ensembl.
GACAUUUGGUAGAGACUGUUGAAGCCACCUGGUCCCAGCAGACCGCAGAAUAUGGCCACAUUCGCUGGUGCUGGUGCAAGGUUGUUAAGGGUGAAGCCUGGUGCCAGAUGUGU